AUGAAAAAAAAAGACUUCACGCCAUGGACACAUCAGCACAACCAUAGGCACACCUCCAUUCUUUUCCUUUUUCUUUCUCUCACCAUCAACACACCGAAAGAACACCACACCAUUAAUACACAAUUAUUUAGGGGUCCCCUUCACAGGUUCUUUUCACUUCUUUAAAAAAAUAGACGGAGGGUACACGAAAGAGGGGGGAUUUUGGCCAUUUUUGUCUGGAAAAGUAUAGAAACACAAAAAAAUAUUUUUUUUUCUUUCUUCUCCAUUGAUAGACGCAUAAGGAGAGAAAACACAUGAGAGAGGGAGGGAGUAAAAUGUAGAGCUGAAUUCGAGAGGGUGGGAGCUGAAAUUGAGAGAGGGAGAGAGGUUGUUGGACUGUUUUUGACGAGUCUCUUGCCUAUGACCCACUAGAAUCGCUGCCAAAAACCCUCAAAAACCACGAUUUAUCCGUUGUUCCAUCGAUAAUCACUGGAAAACAACCACACCAACUGUAUUUCAAUCAAACUCACAUCGAACAGCUUUCAUCUCUUGUUCUCAGUUUAAAUCCCGCCGGAAAACAUUAAUUACGAUCACCAGAUCGUCUGAAUCGGUUGUUUUAGUUUGAAUCCGGUUGAGUAUCAUCAAAAACUGUCACAUGGG
This 639-nucleotide long non-coding RNA is filed under the name Capsicum annuum. RNAcentral's name for it is "long non-coding RNA (CANN_LNC007391)". The record is from RNAcentral. Lineage: Eukaryota; Viridiplantae; Streptophyta; Magnoliopsida; Solanales; Solanaceae.